RNAcentral lists this ribosomal RNA (301 nucleotides) under uncultured bacterium. RNAcentral describes it as "partial 16S ribosomal RNA". It matches the Rfam family "Bacterial small subunit ribosomal RNA", at positions 509 to 807 of the family's 1533-position model. The record is from RNAcentral.
CAGUCGCCGCGGUAAUACAGAGGGUGCGAGCGUUAAUCGGAUUUACUGGGCGUAAAGCGUGCGUAGGCGGCUUUUUAAGUCGGAUGUGAAAUCCCUGAGCUUAACUUAGGAAUUGCAUUCGAUACUGGGAAGCUAGAGUAUGGGAGAGGAUGGUAGAAUUCCAGGUGUAGCGGUGAAAUGCGUAGAGAUCUGGAGGAAUACCGAUGGCGAAGGCAGCCAUCUGGCCUAAUACUGACGCUGAGGUACGAAAGCAUGGGGAGCAAACAGGAUUAGAUACCCCCGUAGUCCCUGUCUCCUAUAC